AUGAAAUCUGUGUGAAGAAAGAUCUACUGAAAGAGCAAGUUUUCAUCCUUGGAAGAAUGGGGAAUGCGAAGCAAGCGCUUGCUGUUAUCAUUAAUAGGUUAGGAGAUAUAGAAGAGGCGAUAGAAUUUGUAAGCAUGCAACAAGAUGAUGAACUCUGGGAGGAACUGAUACAGCAAAGUUUUCAUAAGCCUGAAAUGGUUGGUGUAUUGUUAGAGCACACUGUAGGGAAUCUUGAUCCCCUUUACAUUGUCAAUAUGUUACCCAAUGACCUGGAGAUACCUCGUCUGAGGGAUCGUCUGGUCAAGAUUGUGACAGACUACAGGACAGAGACCUCUCUUAGACAUGGGUGCAAUGAU
Molecule: unclassified non-coding RNA, 356 nt
Filed under: Hevea brasiliensis (rubber tree)
Lineage: Eukaryota; Viridiplantae; Streptophyta; Magnoliopsida; Malpighiales; Euphorbiaceae
Source: RNAcentral